CCCCUAGAUGUUCUGGGCCGCACGCGCGCUACACUGAACAGUUCAACAAGUCUUAACCUUGGCCGAUAGGUCUGGGUAAUCUUUGAACGCUGUUCGUGAUUGGGAUAGACCUUUGCAAUUAUGGGUCUUCAACGAGGAAUUCCUAGUAAACGCAAGUCAUAAGCUUGCAUUGAUUACGUCCCUGCCCUUUGUACACACCGCCCGUCGCACCUACCGAUUGAAUGGUCCGGUGAAAUCUCGGGACGGCGGCUUGGUCGCUUGCGUCCGACUGCUGAAACUUGAUUAAACCAUAUCAUUUAGAGGAAGGUGAANUCGUANCA
RNAcentral lists this ribosomal RNA (320 nucleotides) under uncultured eukaryote. RNAcentral describes it as "partial 18S ribosomal RNA". It matches the Rfam family "Eukaryotic small subunit ribosomal RNA", at positions 1470 to 1796 of the family's 1831-position model. The record is from RNAcentral.